AUUGAACGCUGGCGGCAUGCCUUACACAUGCAAGUCGAACGGUAACAGGUUAAGCUGACGAGUGGCGAACGGGUGAGUAAUGUAUCGGAACGUGCCCAGUCGUGGGGAUAACUGCUCGAAAGAGCAGCUAAUACCGCAUACGACCUGAGGGUGAAAGCGGGGGAUCGCAAGACCUCGCGCGAUUGGAGCGGCCGAUAUCAGAUUAGGUAGUUGGUGAGGUAAAGGCUCACCAAGCCGACGAUCUGUAGCUGGUCUGAGAGGACGACCAGCCACACUGGGACUGAGACACGGCCCAGACUCCUACGGGAGGCAGCAGUGGGGAAUUUUGGACAAUGGGCGCAAGCCUGAUCCAGCCAUGCCGCGUGCGGGAAGAAGGCCUUCGGGUUGUAAACCGCUUUUGUCAGGGAAGAAAAGGUUCUGGCUAAUACCUGGGACUCAUGACGGUACCUGAAGAAUAAGCACCGGCUAACUACGUG
RNAcentral lists this ribosomal RNA (476 nucleotides) under uncultured bacterium. RNAcentral describes it as "partial 16S ribosomal RNA". It matches the Rfam family "Bacterial small subunit ribosomal RNA", at positions 30 to 507 of the family's 1533-position model. The record is from RNAcentral.